GGACCUUUAGCUCAGCUGGUUAGAGCAGUCGGCUCAUAACCGAUAGGUCCCGGGUUCGAGUCCCUGAAGGUCCACGA
This 77-nucleotide transfer RNA is filed under the name [Clostridium] aminophilum. RNAcentral describes it as "tRNA_Met_CAT". It matches the Rfam family "tRNA". From Rfam's summary of the family: Transfer RNA (tRNA) molecules are approximately 80 nucleotides in length. Their secondary structure includes four short double-helical elements and three loops (D, anti-codon, and T loops). Further hydrogen bonds mediate the characteristic L-shaped molecular structure. tRNAs have two regions of fundamental functional importance: the anti-codon, which is responsible for specific mRNA codon recognition, and the 3' end, to which the tRNAs corresponding amino acid is attached (by aminoacyl-tRNA synthetases). tRNAs cope with the degeneracy of the genetic code in two manners: having more than one tRNA (with a specific anti-codon) for a particular amino acid; and 'wobble' base-pairing, i.e. permitting non-standard base-pairing at the 3rd anti-codon position. Lineage: Bacteria; Bacillati; Bacillota; Clostridia; Lachnospirales; Lachnospiraceae. The record is from RNAcentral.